Molecule: ribosomal RNA, 317 nt
Filed under: Traxus fulvus
Lineage: Eukaryota; Metazoa; Arthropoda; Insecta; Hemiptera; Issidae
Description: partial small subunit ribosomal RNA
Source: RNAcentral
UUUCUGGGUAGUAGAUUUUUAUUUGAAUUUAAUGGAUCUGGCGGUUUUUAAAUCUUUUUAGAGGAACCUGUAAUUUAAAUGAUAGUCCACGAUUGAUUUUACCUUUUUUUUCUUGUAUAUCUCUGUCGUUGAAUGUUAUGUUAAUAUAUUUUCUUAUAUAUUAUUUAUAUUAUGUUAGGUCAAGGUGCAGUUAUAUUUUGGUUAUUAUGGGUUACAUUUAUUUACGUUAUUUGAUUAUAUUUUUGUUAUUUAUUUUGAAUAUGGAUUUAAAAGUAAUUUUAUUUAUUUAAUUUUUUGAAUUUAGCUCUUGAUUAUGU